GACACUGAGGCUCGAAAGCGUGGGUAGCAAACAGGAUUAGAUACCCUGGUAGUCCACGCCGUAAACGAUGUCUACUAGUCGUUGGGUCCCUUGAGGACUUAGUGACGCAGCUAACGCAAUAAGUAGACCGCCUGGGGAGUACGGCCGCAAGGUUAAAACUCAAAUGAAUUGACGGGGGCCCGCACAAGCGGUGGGGCAUGUGGUUUAAUUCGAUGCAACGCGAAGAACCUUACCUGGUCUUGACAUACACAGAAUCUUGCAGAGAUACGAGAGUGCCUUCGGGAAUUGUGAUACAGGUGCUGCAUGGCUGUCGUCAGCUCGUGUCGUGAGAUGUUGGGUUAAGUCCCGCAACGAGCGCAACCCUUGUCCUUAGUUACCAGCGGGUUAAGCCGGGAACUCUAAGGAUACUGCCAGUGACAAACUGGAGGAAGGCGGGGACGACGUCAAGUCAUCAUGGCCCUUACGACCAGGGCUACACACGUGCUACAAUGGUAGGUACAGAGGGCAGCUACACAGCGAUGUGAUGCGAAUCUCAAAAAGCCUAUCGUAGUCCAGGUUGGAGUCUGCAACUCGACUCCAUGAAGUAGGAAUCGCUAGUAAUCGCGGAUCAGAAUGCCGCGGUGAAUACGUUCCCGGGCCUUGUACACACCGCCCGUCACACCAUGGGAGUUGAUUGCACCAGAAGUGGUUAGCC
Molecule: ribosomal RNA, 694 nt
Filed under: uncultured bacterium
Lineage: Bacteria
Description: bacterial SSU rRNA
Rfam family: Bacterial small subunit ribosomal RNA
Source: RNAcentral